RNAcentral lists this ribosomal RNA (253 nucleotides) under uncultured bacterium. RNAcentral's name for it is "partial 16S ribosomal RNA". It matches the Rfam family "Bacterial small subunit ribosomal RNA", at positions 524 to 776 of the family's 1533-position model. The record is from RNAcentral.
UACGAAGGGUGCAAGCGUUACUCGGAAUUACUGGGCGUAAAGCGUGCGUAGGCGGUUCGUUAAGUCUGUCGUGAAAGCCCUGGGCUCAACCUGGGAACCGCGCUUGAGACUGGAGAACUAGAGUUCGGGAGAGGAUGGUGGAAUUCCCAGUGUAGAGGUGAAAUUCGUAGAUAUUGGGAAGAACACCGAUGGCGAAGGCAGCCAUCUGGACCGACACUGACGCUGAGGCGCGAAAGCGUGGGGAGCAAACAGG